UACAUAGGGGGCAAGCGUUAUCCGGAAUUAUUGGGCGUAAAGGGUGCGUAGGUGGCCAUUUAAGUCUUUGGUGUAAGUUCAGCGCUCAACGCUGUGAUGCUAAAGAAACUGGGAGGCUUGAGUGUGGUAGAGGCAAGUGGAAUUCCAUGUGUAGCGGUAAAAUGCGUAAAUAUAUGGAGGAACACCGGUGGCGAAGGCGGCUUGCUGGGCCACAACUGACACUGAGGCACGAAAGCGUGGGGAGCAAACAGGAUUAGAUACCCUGGUAGUCCACGCCGUAAACGAUGAGUACUAAGUGUAGGGGAAACUCUGUGCUGUAGUUAACGCAAUAAGUACUCCGCCUGAGUAGUACGUACGCAAGUAUGAA
RNAcentral lists this ribosomal RNA (367 nucleotides) under uncultured bacterium. RNAcentral describes it as "bacterial SSU rRNA". It matches the Rfam family "Bacterial small subunit ribosomal RNA", at positions 524 to 898 of the family's 1533-position model. The record is from RNAcentral.